This 244-nucleotide long non-coding RNA is filed under the name Lathyrus oleraceus (garden pea). RNAcentral describes it as "Pisum sativum (pea) long non-coding RNA (PSAT_LNC006551)". Lineage: Eukaryota; Viridiplantae; Streptophyta; Magnoliopsida; Fabales; Fabaceae. The record is from RNAcentral.
CUGCAGCUAGAUCAUCUAACACCAUUGUUAGGGGAUCCUUAGGAUGAUUAGUCUCCUUUUAUCUUGUAUUUGUAUUUUGGUUUCUGAAAUUGUACUCAGUGUAAUCCUUCCAAUUAUGUAAAUAAAAGAGAUUUUAUGGUCAAUCAAAUUGUUACAAUUGUUGUUAUUGUAUAUAUUUGCAAAUAAAACAAGUAAGUUCCUUAAAAAUAAAAACAAUCAAAACAUUACAUUUCAUGCAUCAUUU